AGAGCGAACGCUGGCGGCAGGCCUAAAACAUGCAAGUCGAACGGACCCUUCGGGGUUAGUGGCGGACGGGUGAGUAACACGUGGGAACGUGCCUUUUGGUUCAGAACAACUCAGGGAAACUUGAGCUAAUACUGAAUAAGCCCUACGGGGGAAAGAUUUAUCGCCAUUAGAGCGGCCCGCGUUGGAUUAGCUAGUUGGUGAGGUAAAGGCUCACCAAGGCUACGAUCCAUAGCUGGUCUGAGAGGAUGAUCAGCCACACUGGGACUGAGACACGGCCCAGACUCCUACGGGAGGCAGCAGUUAGGAAUCUUGCGCAAUGGGCGAAAGCCUGACGCAGCCAUGCCGCGUGAAUGAUGAAGGUCUUAGGAUUGUAAAAUUCUUUCAGUGGGGAAGAUAAUGACUGUACCCACAGAAGAAGCUCCGGCUAACUUCGUGCCAGCGGCCGC
RNAcentral lists this ribosomal RNA (446 nucleotides) under uncultured bacterium. Its description in RNAcentral is "SSU rRNA". It matches the Rfam family "Bacterial small subunit ribosomal RNA", at positions 26 to 518 of the family's 1533-position model. The record is from RNAcentral.